RNAcentral lists this ribosomal RNA (499 nucleotides) under uncultured bacterium. Its description in RNAcentral is "partial 16S ribosomal RNA". It matches the Rfam family "Bacterial small subunit ribosomal RNA", at positions 28 to 507 of the family's 1533-position model. The record is from RNAcentral.
GACGAACGCUGGCGGCGUGCCUAAUACAUGCAAGUCGAGCGAAGUUUUUCUGGUGCUUGCACUAGAAAAACUUAGCGGCGAACGGGUGAGUAACACGUAAAGAACCUGCCUCAUAGACUGGGACAACUAUUGGAAACGAUAGCUAAUACCGGAUAACAGUAUUUCUCGCAUGGGAGAUAUUUAAAAGUUGGUUAUGCUAACACUAUGAGAUGGCUUUGCGGUGCAUUAGCUAGUUGGUGGGGUAAAGGCCCACCAAGGCGACGAUGCAUAGCCGACCUGGGAGGGUGAUCGGCCACACUGGGACUGAGACACGGCCCAGACUCCUACGGGAGGCAGCAGUAGGGAAUCUUCCGCAAUGGGCGAAAGCCUGACGGAGCAACGCCGCGUGAGUGAAGAAGGAUUUCGGUUCGUAAAGCUCUGUUGUUAGGGAAGAAUGGAUAUGUAGUAACUAUACAUGUAAGAGACGGUACCUAACCAGAAAGCCACGGCUAACUACGUG